This 59-nucleotide microRNA precursor is filed under the name Monodelphis domestica (gray short-tailed opossum). RNAcentral's name for it is "Mdo-Mir-1544-P1l_pre stem-loop". It matches the Rfam family "mir-1544 microRNA precursor family". Lineage: Eukaryota; Metazoa; Chordata; Mammalia; Didelphimorphia; Didelphidae. The record is from Rfam by way of RNAcentral.
ACACCCAGGGACAGAAUAGCAGUUCACUUGGAAGCCCCCUUUUCUAUCCCUGGGACUGG